UGGGGAAUAUUGCACAAUGGGCGCAAGCCUGAUGCAGCCAUGCUGCGUGUAUGAAGAAGGCCUUCGGGUUGUAAAGUACUUUCAGCGGGGAGGAAGGGAGUAAAGUUAAUACCUUUGCUCAUUGACGUUACCCGCAGAAGAAGCACCGGCUAACUCCGUGCCAGCAGCCGCGGUAAUACGGAGGGUGCAAGCGUUAAUCGGAAUUACUGGGCGUAAAGCGCACGCAGGCGGUUUGUUAAGUCAGAUGUGAAAUCCCCGGGCUCAACCUGGGAACUGCAUCUGAUACUGGCAAGCUUGAGUCUCGUAGAGGGGGGUAGAAUUCCAGGUGUAGCGGUGAAAUGCGUAGAGAUCUGGAGGAAUACCGGUGGCGAAGGCGGCCCCCUGGACGAAGACUGACGCUCAGGUGCGAAAGCGUGGGGAGCAAACAGG
This 429-nucleotide ribosomal RNA is filed under the name Chloroflexota bacterium. Its description in RNAcentral is "Chloroflexi bacterium partial 16S ribosomal RNA". It matches the Rfam family "Bacterial small subunit ribosomal RNA", at positions 355 to 776 of the family's 1533-position model. RNAcentral also lists the same sequence under 1 other name. Lineage: Bacteria; Bacillati; Chloroflexota. The record is from RNAcentral.